AAGGGUGCGUAGGUGGUUUUAUAAGUCAGCGGUGAAAGUUUGCAGCUUAACUGUAAAAAUGCCGUUGAAACUGUAAGACUUGAGUGUAAAUGAGGUAGGCGGAAUGCGUGGUGUAGCGGUGAAAUGCAUAGAUAUCACGCAGAACUCCGAUUGCGAAGGCAGCUUACUAAGCUACAACUGACACUGAAGCACGAAAGCGUGGGGAUCAAACAGGAUUAGAUACCCUGGUAGUCCACGCAGUAAACGAUGAUUACUAGCUGUUUGCGAUACACAGUAAGCGGCACAGCGAAAGCGUUAAGUAAUCCACCUGGGGAGUACGCCGGCAACGGUGAAACUCAAAGGAAUUGACGGGGGCCCGCACAAGCGGAGGAACAUGUGGUUUAAUUCGAUGAUACGCGAGGAACCUUACCCGGGUUUGAACGUAGGGAGACAGGGGUGGAAACAUCCUU
This 449-nucleotide ribosomal RNA is filed under the name uncultured Bacteroidota bacterium. RNAcentral's name for it is "bacterial SSU rRNA". It matches the Rfam family "Bacterial small subunit ribosomal RNA", at positions 563 to 1013 of the family's 1533-position model. The record is from RNAcentral. Lineage: Bacteria; Pseudomonadati; Bacteroidota.